This 261-nucleotide unclassified non-coding RNA is filed under the name plant metagenome. RNAcentral describes it as "partial contains small subunit ribosomal RNA, internal transcribed spacer 1, and 5.8S ribosomal RNA". The record is from RNAcentral.
UUUCCGUAGGUGAACCUGCGGAAGGAUCAUUAUUGUAUAACCGAGGUGCGAGGGCUGUCGCUGACCCGAAAGGUCGUGCACGCCCGAGUGCCCUCACACAUCCAUCUCACCCCUAUGUGCACCACCGCGUGGGUCCCCCUUUGGCUUGUUCGGAGGGGGGCUUACGUUUUCACACAAACUUUGUAUGCAGUGUAGAAUGUAUUUUUUGUUUUUGUGAUCACGCAAUCAAUACAACUUUCAACAACGGAUCUCUUGGCUCUC